CCAACUUCUUGGCUGAAAUUUACUGAAAGCCUUUGCCCGGCAUGAUCUUGCUCUCUUGUGCUCAUGACAAAGAAAUGUAACCUUUGGCCAAUUGCAUUUUUGUUCCACUGGUAACUAGGUUAAUGUGAACAGACAGAUCUGGUGAGACAGCAUGGGAAGAAAUAACACAUGGGCUUUUGUGCAGCUGGAUAUAAUGAAGAGUCUUGCUCUGUCUCCAGGCUGGAUUGCAAUGGCGUGAUCUCGACUCACUGCAACCUCCGCCUCCUGGGUUCAAGUGAUUCUCCUGCCUCAGCCUCCUGAGGAGCUAGAACUACAGGCACACACCACCACGCCCAGCUAUUUUUUGUAUUUUUAGUAGAGAUGGGGUUUCACCAUGUUGGCCAAGAUGGUCUCUGUCUCUUGACCUCGUAAUCCGCCCACCUUAGCCUCCCAAGGUGCUGGGAUUACAGGCAUCAGCCACUGCGCCCGGCUGAAUUCUGUUAAAUUUUACAUACAGCAUGUAGGGCAGAAGACAUACUUUAAACUCAUAGGUUUUCUUACUUUCACUCAGAAGGGAAGGGAAAACAGUACAAUUCGGCGAAAUAGGAAAUCUAAAUCUUUCAAUGCAUGGGUCAUGUGGAAACCGAGAGAGAGAAGAAAAUCGAAAAAUAGAUGAUGGAUGUUGUUAAGGAAUUAGUAAACCGUUAAGUGCUCUAUCAUUAUUAGAUAUUCGGGUGAUCAUCCCGCAUGUAGCUAUUUGACCAAUGCUGCUUGUAAAUUGGCUUAGGAAAAUUAACAUACAUUUUAUUAAACUGACGAGUAUGCCUUUUACUGAAAGCAAGGAAUAGACAUAGCCAUUUUGUUUAAGAAAUAUAAGCACAUGAGAGGCUUAAAAAGGUAGGGGUUGUAUGUUCUCAGCACUGCAGCUAAAUUCUUAAAUGGAAACUGUUCUUUUAGCAGUUUCAGAGUAGGCUAUCUCAAGCUGAUUGCUACAGACUCAAAUUUUAAGUCGCAUUUCUUUCAGAAACAGAAGGAAAGUCAAUCUCACUUUCGAAAAGAGAAAGUAAGGUGACCCUUGUCAUAGUAACAUAAUGCAGCAGGUCCCAGGUGUAACCCGGAGGAAAAGGCAGACAAGGUCCUGCGAUGCCGCAGCUGAAAGGAAGCUGACGCCAACGGGCUUCUCAGAAGAACAAUGACUCAUUAGUCCCGGGCUCACGGCAGAUGCGGUCUCCCAACAACUGGCCUCCCUCCAAAAACAUGGAGGAAAUCAAGAGGGCAGAGCCGGGAAGGAGGCUGCAUCCCUCGCCUGAUGGGGAGCACUCCUAGCAGGCACAGGGUAAUCAGAAAAGUGCUUUGGAAUCACAAAAUGAAAAAACAAGUGUCAGCUGUGGGAGAUGUAGAAAUGCAAAUAAGUACGAAUGCAAAUAGGCCGGAUAAAUGGCAGUGUGCAAUCACCCAAAGCUCUGUUUACAACCCGAAGGCAGCUCCGUCUGUAAUUAUCUGGGCGCCAUUAACUGCGUGGGAGCAGCUCUCAACGGGUACAAGAGAGAUACCACCAGAAGUGAAAUGUCCUCUCUCCCGUGAUGAAGCCAGAUCUCCGAGCGAUUCCAUCUACACUGAACUAAACCGGUUUGUGCCAAAGAGCUAGAAGUGUACCUUUGGUGAAACAAGGAAGCUAGAUUUUUUUUUAUUGCUUACUGCGCAUCUGAACGUAAUUCUUGCCAUUAAUUAAGAAAACAGAUGAUAAGAGAUUUGGCUUCAAUAAACAUGUACUGAAA
RNAcentral lists this long non-coding RNA (1757 nucleotides) under Homo sapiens (human). Its description in RNAcentral is "HSALNT0338207". The record is from RNAcentral. Lineage: Eukaryota; Metazoa; Chordata; Mammalia; Primates; Hominidae.